This 253-nucleotide ribosomal RNA is filed under the name uncultured bacterium. RNAcentral's name for it is "partial 16S ribosomal RNA". It matches the Rfam family "Bacterial small subunit ribosomal RNA", at positions 524 to 776 of the family's 1533-position model. The record is from RNAcentral.
UACGUAGGGGGCAAGCGUUGUCCGGAAUCAUUGGGCGUAAAGCGCGUGUAGGCGGCUCGGUAAGUCCGCUCUGAAAGCCCGGGGCUCAACCCCGGGAGGCGGGUGGAUACUGCUGAGCUCGAGUCCGGAAGAGGAGUGUGGAAUUCCUGGUGUAGCGGUGAAAUGCGCAGAUAUCAGGAGGAACACCAACGGCGAAGGCAGCACUCUGGGACGGUACUGACGCUGAGACGCGAAAGCGUGGGGAGCAAACAGG